GUGUAGGAAAGGAGAGGAGGUUAGCACUCCCCUCCAGAAGGAUGGAAGAGGUCCUAGUGGCCAUUACAACACAUAUGUGGUUAAGGUCCUGCCAACUACUUCAUAGCAUCUGAUCAAGUUUUUUA
This is a small nuclear RNA of Tachyglossus aculeatus (Australian echidna), 125 nucleotides long. Lineage: Eukaryota; Metazoa; Chordata; Mammalia; Monotremata; Tachyglossidae. The record is from RefSeq and is a predicted model, not a curated record.